CUUAAUCCUUAGCUUUAAGUAUUCUAAUAGCCUCUAAUGAGCUUUGUUAGCAUGUUGAUCCAUUUAAUUUUGGAUUAUUUUGAGGUUAAUAGCAUAUUAGGGCUCCGAAUGGGGUUUUGUAAAAUGUAAGGGUUUGAUCUAAAUUGACCCUAUAUAAACCUAAUUGCUAGGUAAACGAACGCGUUGGCGAAGACGGUUCGGCAAUCCGACGAGCCGUUGCGAAGUUAUUAAAGAAACGGACGUUUAGGCUUCGGGUCCGCCGGGAGGGCCGAGGCGAUAUCGUAAAUUCAUGAAAAUGGAUUUGAAGCUUCGUGGCACAUAACCGAAGACCUUUAAUUUUCGGAUCGUGAAUUGGAGGCCGUUCGGGUGGUCGCGUGAGAGAUCGGGCCAAACCGGGUUACGGGUGCCGCGGGAGGCCGAUUGCAAGUGUCGACAAGCAAUCGGAAUGCGAAAUGAGGUGGGUUGUGCUCACCGAAGCGAUUAGGUCGCUUUCCAUGCUAAAGUGUAGUAUGUUUACUAUUGACGCAUGAUAAAGUAUGCUAUUUAAGAAUGCAUGAUAAAGAUUAAAGUAUGCUAUUUGAGAAUGCAUGAUAAAGUAUGCUAAUUAAGAAUGCAUGAUAAAGAUAGAUGCCAAAUGAAUGCAUGAGUUGAUGUUAAUUUAUAUGUGCAUAUUAUAGAAAUGCUAAAUAGAUGUCAAAUGAAAGUAUGAGAUUUGUACUAACCGAGAAUGCAUGUAGUAAAUGUUAACGAAUGCAUAAAAUGCUAAGUAAUGACUACCAAUGGAUGACAAAAUAUAUGCAUGUUGAACAUAGAUCGAGUGGCAUUCGAAAUGGUAAAGUGGACACUAGAGUUAGUGUGGGACAUCAAAGAAUAAAUGUGAUGUAAAGAACAAUGAUAAUGGCUAAAGAUAAUGUAAAACAAUGUGAUGAUAAUAAUGUAAUGUUGCAUGAUGUGAGUACACGUGCUUAUUAGAAUGAUUAAGAAUCUAAAUAAUCUAUGUGUAUGCAUGAGAUGUAAUGUGAGAACCUAAUGAUAAUGGCUUGAGACAAGGCAAAGCAAUGUGAUGUAAAGAAUAAUGAUAAUGGCUAAAGACAAUGUAAUGUAAUGUGGCAUAAAGAACGUGUAAAGUUAAAGAAUGUGAAAGCUAAAGAUAGCUUAAAGUAAAGGAAUGUGAAAAACGUGAUUGCUAGAGUUAGCAAAAGUAAAAGAGAUGUAAAGAACAAUGAUUGCUAGAGUGGCAACAUAAAGUGAUGUAAAGAACACUAGAGUUAGUGUAAAACCAUGAUCCAACUACAUAUCCUUAGAGUUAAGGAUUGAUCAUACUUGCUAUGAGUUCCGUGCUCGAGGGCGGUCGCUCCCCCUCGGGCGAUGCGCUCCGGAGUUUGGCAUCCGGGUUGGAGUAGACCCGUAAGGACGGUCCUAGCUGGUGAGUUCCUGCGAUGAUGGACUUAAUGUGAAGCAAGUUAAUGUGGCGAAACCCCCGGGUUAGCCGUGAGAUUAAAGAACAAAGAACAAAAAGGAAUCAUGAAUUGGAAAGUGGAUCUUGUAUUCAUUAUGAAUUGACUCAAGACCGAGUCGAGUGGCAUAGUUGGCUAGGGUAAAGGUAACCCUGUGAAAGAAUGACAAUUGAGAAAGAAUGACAAUUGAGAAACGUUUGUUAAUGUUAUAAAGAAUGGCAAAUGUGUAUAAUGCGCCUAAGGUGCGAGUGCCCUUAGCAAAGAAUAAAGAAUAAAGAAUAAAGAACAAAGAAUAAAGAAUAAAGAAUAAAGAACAAAGAAUAAAGAAUAAAGAAUAAAGAAUAAAGAAUAAAGAAUAAAGAAUAAAGAUUAAAGAAUAAAGAAUG
This 1843-nucleotide long non-coding RNA is filed under the name Ananas comosus (pineapple). RNAcentral describes it as "long non-coding RNA (ACOM_LNC007162)". Lineage: Eukaryota; Viridiplantae; Streptophyta; Magnoliopsida; Poales; Bromeliaceae. The record is from RNAcentral.